GACGAACGCUGGCGGCGUGGAUUAGGCAUGCAAGUCGAACGGUAUCAUCCUUUCGGGGGUGAGAGAGUGGCGAACUGGUGAGUAACACGUAGGUUAUCUACCCUCAAGACGGGGACAACCCAGGGAAACUUGGGCUAAUACCGGAUGUGAGCAACUUUUAGUUGUUUGAAAGGUGGCGUAAGCUGUCGCUUGGGGAUGAGCCUGCGUCCUAUUAGUUAGUUGGUGAGGUAACGGCUCACCUAGGCAAUGAUAGGUAGGCGGCCUUAACGGGUGGUCGCCCACACGUGGGAUUGAGAUACGGCCCAGACUCCUACGGGAGGCAGCAGUCGAGAAUAGUCUACAAUGGUCGGAAGACUGAUAGUGCGACGCCGCGUGAACGACGAAUCCCUUCGGGGUGUAAAGUUCUUUUAUAUGUGAGCAGUGCUUCUUAUAUUAACAGUAUGGGGAGAGAGAUAUUAGCAUAUGAAUAAGCAACGGCUAACUCCGUGCCAGCAGCCGACGGUAAAAUCACG
RNAcentral lists this ribosomal RNA (512 nucleotides) under uncultured bacterium. Its description in RNAcentral is "bacterial SSU rRNA". It matches the Rfam family "Bacterial small subunit ribosomal RNA", at positions 28 to 527 of the family's 1533-position model. The record is from RNAcentral.